RNAcentral lists this long non-coding RNA (2569 nucleotides) under Heterocephalus glaber (naked mole-rat). RNAcentral's name for it is "lncRNA (ENSHGLG00000043564.1)". Lineage: Eukaryota; Metazoa; Chordata; Mammalia; Rodentia; Bathyergidae. The record is from RNAcentral.
GGGGCAGGCACCCACCCUGGACAGGGACCUUCUUCAGGAUCCUGGGCUGUGCCAGCAGCCUGGGCUUCAAAGCGCUACCGUUUGUUUGAUUCUCGCACACUACAAAGUGCUGUGACCCUCGCUUGCGGAAGUGCCACGCCCACCAGGGGAGAGGGCUGCAAAGCCAACAGCCUUUGUCCAGGGAGUUUGCCGGUGCAGGGGUGUGGCAGCCGCUUGCUCAGGGCGGAUAGGUAGCCACAGGUCCUGGCCCAUGGGUGCAGGCCUCUCCCGGGAAGGGGUGCUGUGGGCAGAAGAUGCCCAGCCAUGGCAUCAGCCAGUCCGCUCAGCUGUGCACAUGGCUGCUCGAGGCCAAAGCGCCUGUGCACGUGAGCCUUUGUACAUGAGUGAGCACACGCAUUUGCACUGAGCUUGUAUGACUGUGCAAGGCGUCCAUGUGUCUGCUCCCCAGGAGUGUGUGCAGUGUCUCGCACAACUCGUCCUCCCCCAGGGCACAAGGCCAGGGGCACAGGACACCCCACACCCCUCAGACCCUAGAGUCCCAGGCCCUGGGCGAUGCCUGUGUGGUGCCCCAGCAAGGGGGGUGUCCUGGGUGCUCCCUGUGUUCUGCUGCCCCUGGGAGGAGGCUCCAAGGUGGCUGCAAGGCUCACUGCAGGCAGACCUUGCCACGCCAGGGCCCCAGAGGUGGGCGUUGGGCCCAGGUCCCCAGCCAGCUGGUGGGAGGCAGAGGAUGGGAAUGCCCACAGGGAAACUGAACCCCAGCUCCACCGACUGUGCCAGGGCACAGAGGGGUCGGAAACGGCUCUGAGGCUGGACUCAGGAGGGUGGAGGCCAAGGGUCCCGGGGCAGGAGCGGGUGACGAGUUUUGAGGGCAGUGUGAGCCCUGGGCUGCUCUGGAGCUGGCGAUCUCUACCUCCUCCUGCCCUGCCUGCCUGGGUCAGAUGUAUGCCCUGUGCCCUCCACACACUGACUGAGUCCUGGGCCACUGAAGCUGGGCCAGGCCGGGCUGGCUUGAGACUGGUGAGGGCGAUGGCUUUGCCAGAAUCCCAGCCAUCUGGGUGGAGCCCAGCUGCCCCCAGGCGUGGGACCUCCUCCUGUCCCCAGAGGGGCCUCUCAAGGUGACCCCAGCCCCGGGGGGGGUCGUGUGAACAGGGCUGUCCUGGCUGUGCCUUUGUGCAUCCCCACAAUGGCAGAACUUGAUGCCGCCUCUCGCAUUACCGGACUCAGAAGCUCACCGAGCCCCUCUGCACUGCCCUGAUGCAGCUGGCUGGGAGGACUUGGCUUUGCAGAGAAGCAGGCCUGGGCAGCAUGCUGGUCCCCAGUGCCCACUGCUUUCUUGUCAUCAGAGCCUGUCCUCUCAGGGCCUUGCUGGACAGCCCUGCCUCUGCCACCAGAGUCCAGUUUGAGCUGUAGAAUGGAGAAAGCAGAUGUACUGGAUGACAGCCUGCUGGAGGAUGCUGUCCCUGCAGGAGGGAAGCAACGGCCCGGGGCACACACCUUGCUGGAGCACCCAGGGUCUACCUGCAGGCCCACAGCAGCCCCAGCUCAGAGUCAGAGGAAGCCACUGGGCAGAAGAGCCCAGCGAAUGGCCAGAAAACACCAUGGGCUCUUGGGGCAGGGCCAGCUGCUCCUCCCCACCUUCUACCACCUCCCAAGAAGCCCCAGCUUCCACCUGCAGCACCUGAGGGCUCCCGUUGGCCCUGUGCGACUGCCGAGCCUGGACAGACGACUUGGGCUGCUCCCCUCUUCUCCCCCGGUCACCUGGACUCUCGUAGUGACCCAGCCCCUCCAUGAGCUGAGCUGACUCACUGCCUGCCCAACCCAGUGUCUGCAGCUGCACACUUCCGGUCCCUCGAGGAGAGUGUGCCUCUGGCUGGAGAUGCAACAGCCCCAAGGGUCCCAAGAGCCAGGCCUCACCAGCGGGGCAGGGACGCCGCAGCCCAGCCUGGCACCGUACCGCUGAGUGGGGCCGGGCCUCUGUGAUCAGCUGGAUGCCCUGAGUGUGCUCAAGUCUGCGGAGAGACCCAGGGCCCACAGUGCUUCCAAGGCCGUUUUCCUAAGAAUGGUGAUGGUGACUGGAGCACACUGUGCUUGGGAAAAGGAGGAACUGUGGCCAGCCCUGUCUCGCGCCCAGGUUCUCAGGGUGUCUGCAGCUGACCCUGGACUCACUGGGGCUCUCUGGGGUUUGCCCGCAUCAUGCCCCCCUGAGCAUGCUGGACCUGCUGCCCCAUCCCAGGCUCGGUGCCGCACCCAGGACGCAGAACUCAGCCACGGCCUCCAGUCCCCAUGAGCCUGUGGCUGGAGCAGUGGCUGCAUUGCAUGAACCUGAUCCCUCCCCAGGUGCUGAGCAGGCUCUGGGCUCCACCUGUGUUCAGGGGGCCUGGUCCUCCUCGAAGCCAUGCCUGUGGGGCCCCCAACAAUCCUGGCCUUGGGGUCACAUGGGCUCUGUUCACCUCCUGGGUGGACACUGUGGGGCAGGGCCCAGCAUCAAGCCCAGGACCCAGAGCGCACCCUCUGCAGCAGCCGUGGGCUGCCUCUUGAUGGCACCGGGGAGCAGAGCAGACCAUGAGAA